RNAcentral lists this ribosomal RNA (341 nucleotides) under Rhysotritia duplicata. RNAcentral describes it as "SSU rRNA". It matches the Rfam family "Eukaryotic small subunit ribosomal RNA", at positions 594 to 939 of the family's 1831-position model. Lineage: Eukaryota; Metazoa; Arthropoda; Arachnida; Sarcoptiformes; Euphthiracaridae. The record is from RNAcentral.
AUAGCGUAUAUUAAAGUUGUUGCGGUUAAAAAGCUCGUAGUUGGAUCUCAGUUCAAGCCUAUCGGUCCACUUGCCAGUGGCUACUGAUUGGCUGAACACUUUACCGAGUUGUCCUCUGAUGCUCUUCACCGAGUGUCUCUGGCGAUCGGUACGUUUACUUUGAAAAAAUUAGAGUGCUCAAAGCAGGCGUUACGCCCGAAUAAUGUUGCAUGGAAUAAUGGAAUAGGACCUCGGUUCUAUUUUGUUGGUCUUCGGAAUCUGAGGUAAUGAUUAAGAGGGACAGACGGGGGCAUUCGUAUUGCGGCGCUAGAGGUGAAAUUCUUGGACCGUCGCAAGACGAA